GCUUGAAUGUAUACCACAAAUAAAAAUACAGUAACUCCUCACUUAAAGUCAUCCAGGUUAACACUGUUUCCUUGCUGAUCAAUCAGAGAACAUGCUUGUUUAAAAUUGCACAAAGCUCCCUUAUAACGUUGUUUGGCAGCUGCCUGCUU
Molecule: long non-coding RNA, 149 nt
Organism: Gopherus evgoodei (Goodes thornscrub tortoise)
Lineage: Eukaryota; Metazoa; Chordata; Testudines; Testudinidae
Exons: 4
Source: RefSeq, a predicted model, not a curated record